UUAAGUGCUGCCUGAAUGCAUGUGCUGAUUCCUGCUGCAGAAUUUCUGGGGCUGCUUUUGGCUUAACCCCCGAAUCUGAGUGAAAUUCAAUGAGCGAAGACAAUGAACCUUGCUCGUGGCCUGGGGUCGACUGAGGACCACGGGGUGAGUGAUAAAGGUCAGAAACAGACGGAGGUGCCAGGAGAAAUCUAUGCACGCCAGUACACUGCCAACAGGCCCAGAUCUCUCUGCCUCUCGCCACCUCCCCCACGCCCUACCACCCCAGGCCACGGGAACUACUAAGUGCGAAGAGGAGCCCGGAGCUCUGCUCCGCGCCUGCGCUUAGCCAAUCCACGUUCACCCUGGAUACACGCCCCUCCCAGCUCCUCCAGAUGUUCCCAGGACGAAAGCUAAGUCUUCCCCGCCGGCGCGCGCCGCUUCCGCCCCGGAGGGAAGGAGUGCCCCUCCCCCCUACAAAGAAACACUCUCCCAAGGCUGGGCCGGGCCGGGCCUGGUAAACCUCC
Molecule: long non-coding RNA, 503 nt
Organism: Artibeus jamaicensis (Jamaican fruit-eating bat)
Lineage: Eukaryota; Metazoa; Chordata; Mammalia; Chiroptera; Phyllostomidae
Exons: 3
Source: RefSeq, a predicted model, not a curated record